This 957-nucleotide ribosomal RNA is filed under the name Trichuris arvicolae. Its description in RNAcentral is "16S ribosomal RNA". The stretch from base 592 to 874 matches the Rfam family "Archaeal large subunit ribosomal RNA", at positions 2150 to 2716 of the family's 2987-position model. The record is from RNAcentral. Lineage: Eukaryota; Metazoa; Nematoda; Enoplea; Trichinellida; Trichuridae.
UACACAAAAAAAGAUUAUUUACAUUUCCUUUUGUAUAAGGAUUAAUCAAAAAUUAGAAAUAUUUCUAUAAAAGAAAAUUAGUGAUUUAUUUUCAUAAAAUAUAUACAUAACAUGUAUGAAAAAUAUGAAAUUAAAAUUUGUGAUAUGCACUACACUAAUGAAUAUCUUUUUAAAAUUUGAUUUUAUUUGGGUUGAUCUAAAUAUGUCAUGAUAAAAACAUUCAAUUAAAGGAUUAGAAGUAUCCUAUUUAAAUUCUUAUAAUAAAAAAUUGAUCAAUAAAAAUCUUUAAAAUAAUAACUUUAGUAAAAUUUAAACUAAAAUUAUUAUGAUUAAGUGAGUAAAUUGAAUAAAAUUUAUUAAUUAAAACUUUACAAUUAAUAUUCUAUUGUUUAUUAAAAACAUUUUAAUAUUAAUAUAUUAUAUAUUCCUGCCCACUGAUACAUUUAAAUGGCCGCAGUAAUCUGACUGUGCUAAGGUAGCGUAAUCACUUGUUUAAUAAUUUUAAACUAGAAUGAACGGAAAAAAGUAAUAUUAAUUUUUAAUUAACAAAUUCAUCUAAAUCAUUUAAAAAGUGAAAAAACUUUUUAUAAUCAUAAAAACGAGAAGACCCUAGAAAUUUUUGUUUUAAUUGGGACAAUUAAUUUAAUUAAAUAUGUAUACCCUUUUUAUGCUAUUGAAAUAAAUUAAAUUACUCUAGGGAUAACAGCAUAAUAAUUAUAAAGAGACCUAAUCUAAAUAGUUGAUUGUGACCUCGAUGUUGAAUCAUUUUUAUAAUAAUAUUCGCAGCAGGAUUUUAUUUAUCGUCUGUUCGACGAUUAAAAAUUACGUGAUUUGAGUUUAAACCGUCGAAAGACAGGUUGGAUUCUCUUUUAUGGUUAUCGUAAAACGUUUGUAUUAGUACGAAAGGAUCAUAUAAACAAUUUAAGAUAAUUAAUGAUCAAAUUAAUUGUAGUGUUU